GAUGAACGCUGGCGGCGUGCCUAAUACAUGCAAGUCGAGCGAACGGACGAGAAGCUUGCUUCUCUGAUGUUAGCGGCGGACGGGUGAGUAACACGUGGAUAACCUACCUAUAAGACUGGGAUAACUUCGGGAAACCGGAGCUAAUGCCGGAUAAUAUUUUGAACCGCAUGGUUCAAAAGUGAAAGACGGUCUUGCUGUCACUUAUAGAUGGAUCCGCGCUGCAUUAGCUAGUUGGUAAGGUAACGGCUUACCAAGGCAACGAUGCAUAGCCGACCUGAGAGGGUGAUCGGCCACAAUGGAACUGAGAAAAGGUCCAGACUCCUAAGGGAGGCAGCAGUAGGGAAUCUUCCGCAAUGGGCGAAAGCCUGACGGAGCAACGCCGCGUGAGUGAUGAAGGUCUUCGGAUCGUAAAACUCUGUUAUUAGGGAAGAACAUAUGUGUAAGUAACUGUGCACAUCUUGACGGUACCUAAUCAGAAAGCCACGGCUAACUACGUG
This 497-nucleotide ribosomal RNA is filed under the name uncultured bacterium. RNAcentral describes it as "partial 16S ribosomal RNA". It matches the Rfam family "Bacterial small subunit ribosomal RNA", at positions 28 to 507 of the family's 1533-position model. The record is from RNAcentral.